Acyrthosiphon pisum (pea aphid) is the source of this 74-nucleotide non-coding RNA. The record is from Rfam. NCBI's taxonomy places the organism in Eukaryota, Metazoa, Arthropoda, Insecta, Hemiptera, Aphididae.
GUGGUUCAAAUUGACUCUAGUAGGGAGUCCUUAUAUUUAAUGUGACUCCCUAAUGGGGUCAGAUUGAAACGCUG